GACGAACGCUGGCGGCGUGCUUAACACAUGCAAGUCGAGCGGAAAGGCUCCUUCGGGGGUACUCGAGCGGCGAACGGGUGAGUAACACGUGAGUAAUCUGCCCUUGGCUUCGGGAUAGCCACCGGAAACGGUGAUUAAUACCGGAUACGACAACUUCUCGCAUGGGAUGGUUGUGGAAAGUUUUUUCGGCCAGGGAUGUGCUCGCGGCCUAUCAGCUUGAUGGUGAGGUAAUGGCUCACCAUGGCUUCGACGGGUAGCCGGCCUGAGAGGGUGACCGGUCACACUGGGACUGAGACACGGCCCAGACUCCUACGGGAGGCAGCAGUGGGGAAUAUUGGACAAUGGGCGGAAGCCUGAUCCAGCAACGCCGCGUGAGGGAUGACGGCCUUCGGGUUGUAAACCUCUUUCGGUAGGGACGAAGCGCAAGUGACGGUACCUACUAAAGAAGCACCGGCCAACUACGUGCCAGCCGCCGCCGUAA
This 481-nucleotide ribosomal RNA is filed under the name uncultured bacterium. RNAcentral's name for it is "partial 16S ribosomal RNA". It matches the Rfam family "Bacterial small subunit ribosomal RNA", at positions 28 to 523 of the family's 1533-position model. The record is from RNAcentral.